Molecule: ribosomal RNA, 1556 nt
Filed under: Salmonella enterica subsp. enterica serovar Minnesota
Lineage: Bacteria; Pseudomonadati; Pseudomonadota; Gammaproteobacteria; Enterobacterales; Enterobacteriaceae
Also listed under: 1 other name
Description: bacterial SSU rRNA
Rfam family: Bacterial small subunit ribosomal RNA
Source: RNAcentral
UUAAAUUGAAGAGUUUGAUCAUGGCUCAGAUUGAACGCUGGCGGCAGGCCUAACACAUGCAAGUCGAACGGUAACAGGAAGCAGCUUGCUGCUUCGCUGACGAGUGGCGGACGGGUGAGUAAUGUCUGGGAAACUGCCUGAUGGAGGGGGAUAACUACUGGAAACGGUGGCUAAUACCGCAUAAUGUCGCAAGACCAAAGAGGGGGACCUUCGGGCCUCUUGCCAUCAGAUGUGCCCAGAUGGGAUUAGCUUGUUGGUGAGGUAACGGCUCACCAAGGCGACGAUCCCUAGCUGGUCUGAGAGGAUGACCAGCCACACUGGAACUGAGACACGGUCCAGACUCCUACGGGAGGCAGCAGUGGGGAAUAUUGCACAAUGGGCGCAAGCCUGAUGCAGCCAUGCCGCGUGUAUGAAGAAGGCCUUCGGGUUGUAAAGUACUUUCAGCGGGGAGGAAGGUGUUGUGGUUAAUAACCACAGCAAUUGACGUUACCCGCAGAAGAAGCACCGGCUAACUCCGUGCCAGCAGCCGCGGUAAUACGGAGGGUGCAAGCGUUAAUCGGAAUUACUGGGCGUAAAGCGCACGCAGGCGGUCUGUCAAGUCGGAUGUGAAAUCCCCGGGCUCAACCUGGGAACUGCAUUCGAAACUGGCAGGCUUGAGUCUUGUAGAGGGGGGUAGAAUUCCAGGUGUAGCGGUGAAAUGCGUAGAGAUCUGGAGGAAUACCGGUGGCGAAGGCGGCCCCCUGGACAAAGACUGACGCUCAGGUGCGAAAGCGUGGGGAGCAAACAGGAUUAGAUACCCUGGUAGUCCACGCCGUAAACGAUGUCUACUUGGAGGUUGUGCCCUUGAGGCGUGGCUUCCGGAGCUAACGCGUUAAGUAGACCGCCUGGGGAGUACGGCCGCAAGGUUAAAACUCAAAUGAAUUGACGGGGGCCCGCACAAGCGGUGGAGCAUGUGGUUUAAUUCGAUGCAACGCGAAGAACCUUACCUGGUCUUGACAUCCACAGAACUUUCCAGAGAUGGAUUGGUGCCUUCGGGAACUGUGAGACAGGUGCUGCAUGGCUGUCGUCAGCUCGUGUUGUGAAAUGUUGGGUUAAGUCCCGCAACGAGCGCAACCCUUAUCCUUUGUUGCCAGCGAUUCGGUCGGGAACUCAAAGGAGACUGCCAGUGAUAAACUGGAGGAAGGUGGGGAUGACGUCAAGUCAUCAUGGCCCUUACGACCAGGGCUACACACGUGCUACAAUGGCGCAUACAAAGAGAAGCGACCUCGCGAGAGCAAGCGGACCUCAUAAAGUGCGUCGUAGUCCGGAUUGGAGUCUGCAACUCGACUCCAUGAAGUCGGAAUCGCUAGUAAUCGUGGAUCAGAAUGCCACGGUGAAUACGUUCCCGGGCCUUGUACACACCGCCCGUCACACCAUGGGAGUGGGUUGCAAAAGAAGUAGGUAGCUUAACCUUCGGGAGGGCGCUUACCACUUUGUGAUUCAUGACUGGGGUGAAGUCGUAACAAGGUAACCGUAGGGGAACCUGCGGUUGGAUCACCUCCUUACCUUAAAGAAGC